Long non-coding RNA from Nerophis ophidion (straightnose pipefish), 1735 nucleotides. RefSeq lists it as uncharacterized. The record is from RefSeq and is a predicted model, not a curated record. Lineage: Eukaryota; Metazoa; Chordata; Actinopteri; Syngnathiformes; Syngnathidae. The transcript has 4 exons.
GCCUUGACCUCGUCGUCCUCGCUCUGCUUGUUGUUGACCUCCUCCAGGCCGCCAAUCAGCUGCUUGAAGGACCUGCGGCACACACCGCCGUCACACCCGCGCCUCACAAGAAGACCAACACCACGCCACUCACUCUCUGUCCACCACCAGACACGUGACGGCGCCGAUGGCGGUCACGCUGGCGGUGCGGACGUCCUCGCUGAAACACAUACACAAAAGGCCAGAGGUUCCACAGUCCGACAUCAUCCGUGUGUGUGCCAUCGCCUGCUCGCCGAACCAGUCCCCUUUGGACAACGUCUUCACCGGCGCCUGCUCGCCACUGGAGGCGCUUUGCUGCGAUACGUUCACCUUUCAGGGGGAGGAAGGACACGCCAUCACGCCCACGUGCAGCCGGGAGCAGGAAGAAGGAGGAGGCACACCUCACCUGACCCUCACUGAUGAUGAAGAAUGUGUCUCCUGUGGCACCUUGGCGGAUGAUGUAGUCGCCAUCGCUGUAGUGGGUCUGACACACACACACACACACACACACACACACGCACGGUGUAACAUGACCACGUGAGAAUGUGUGAGGCAGGUUGACACUCACCUCCUCAAGAACAUCAGCCAGCUUGCUGAGAACGUCCUCUGUGAGACUCUGGAAAGAUGGAACGCUAGCAGCAAAAGAGCAACGGCAUUAGCAAAGCCUCAAGAUUACCUGCGCAGGAAGUCAGUGUACUGAGAGUGUUUGAUGAGACCUGUCCUCAUCAUGAUGGUCUGGAACCCUUGACGGUCGAUGGCCCACAACUUCACAUCGGUGACUACCUGUGACUGUGGCCGUCCGUGUGCAGUUGUACAAGAUGGCGAGCUCUCCAAAGACAUUGCCGGGUCCGAUGGUGCAAAGUUUUUUGCCUCCCUUGGUGACCUCCACCAUGCCCUCUGUCAACACACUCCAUUAUUUCUUUACCUUUUACAGUACACUAAGUAGCAUCACACUAACACUUCUUCUACAAAACACAUGCAGGCUGAGGCUGUCUUUCUUUUGAGUGCACAAGUAGGUUACACCUGUGUACUUACACUAAUUUUUUUGAAUGCAUAAGUGUUUUACACUGGCAUAUUAACACUAAGUAUUUUGAGUGCAUAAGUGCAUUACACUUGUGUACUUACACUAAGUCUGUUGAGUGCAUAAGUGUGUUACACUGGCAUACUUACACUAAGUCUUUUGAGUGCAUAAGUGCGUUACACGUGUACUUACACUAAGUCUGUUGAGUGCAUAAGUGUGUUACACUGGCAUACUUACACUAAGUCUUUUGUACAUAAGUGUGUUAUACUGGCAUACUUACACUAAGUAGUUUGAGUGCAUAAGUAGGUGACACUUAUGUACUUCCACUAAGUCGUUUGAGUGCAUAAGUAGGUGACACUUGUAUACUUACACUAAGUUAUUUGAGUGCAUAAGUAGGUUACGCUGUAUACUUACACUAAGUCUUUUGAGUACAUGCGUGCGUUACACUAGCAUUACUACACUAAGUCUUUUGAGUACAUGCGUAGGUUACACUAUACUUACACUAAGUCUUUUGAGUACAUAAGUAGGUUACACGUGUGUACUUACACUAAGUCUUUUGAGUACAUAAGUGUGUUACACUAGCAUAACUACACUAAGUAUUUUGAGUACAUGAGUAGGUUACACGUGUGUACUUACACUAAGUCUGUUGAGUGCAUAAGUGUGUUGCACUGGCGUACUUGCACUAAGUCUUGUGAG